RNAcentral lists this ribosomal RNA (492 nucleotides) under uncultured bacterium. RNAcentral's name for it is "partial 16S ribosomal RNA". It matches the Rfam family "Bacterial small subunit ribosomal RNA", at positions 29 to 507 of the family's 1533-position model. The record is from RNAcentral.
AGUGAACGCUGGCGGUAGGCCUAACACAUGCAAGUCGAACGGCAGCACAGUAAGAGCUUGCUCUUACGGGUGGCGAGUGGCGGACGGGUGAGGAAUACAUCGGAAUCUACUUUUUCGUGGGGGAUAACGUAGGGAAACUUACGCUAAUACCGCAUACGACCUACGGGUGAAAGCAGGGGAUCUUCGGACCUUGCGCGAUUGAAUGAGCCGAUGUCGGAUUAGCUAGUUGGCGGGGUAAAGGCCCACCAAGGCGACGAUCCGUAGCUGGUCUGAGAGGAUGAACAGCCACACUGGAACUGGGGAACGGUCCCGACUCCUAAGGGAGGGAGCAGUGGGGGAUAUUGGACAAUGGGCGCAAGCCUGAUCCAGCCAUACCGCGUGGGUGAAGAAGGCCUUCGGGUUGUAAAGCCCUUUUGUUGGGAAAGAAAAGCAGCAGGUUAAUACCCCGCUGUUCUGACGGUACCCAAAGAAUAAGCACCGGCUAACUUCGUG